UACGUAGGGUGCGAGCGUUAAUCGGAAUUACUGGGCGUAAAGCGUGCGCAGGCGGCUUUGCAAGACAGAUGUGAAAUCCCCGGGCUUAACCUGGGAACUGCAUUGGUGACUGCACGGCUAGAGUGUGUCAGAGGGGGGUAGAAUUCCACGUGUAGCAGUGAAAUGCGUAGAGAUGUGGAGGAAUACCGAUGGCGAAGGCAGCCCCCUGGGAUAACAUUGACGCUCAUGCACGAAAGCGUGGGUAGCAAACAGG
This 253-nucleotide ribosomal RNA is filed under the name uncultured bacterium. RNAcentral's name for it is "partial 16S ribosomal RNA". It matches the Rfam family "Bacterial small subunit ribosomal RNA", at positions 524 to 776 of the family's 1533-position model. The record is from RNAcentral.